UACGGGGGGGGCAAGCGUUGUUCGGAAUUACUGGGCGUAAAGGGUUCGUAGGUGGCCAAUUAAGUCAGGACGUGAAAUCCCUCAGCUUAACUGGGGAACUGCGUCUGAGACGUGGAUGGCUUGAGUGCAGGAGAGGAACGCGGAAUUCCAGGUGUAGCGGUGAAAUGCGUAGAUAUCUGGAGGAACACCGGUGGCGAAGGCGGCGUUCUGGACUGCAACUGACACUGAGGAACGAAAGCCAGGGGAGCAAACGGG
Molecule: ribosomal RNA, 255 nt
Filed under: uncultured bacterium
Lineage: Bacteria
Description: partial 16S ribosomal RNA
Rfam family: Bacterial small subunit ribosomal RNA
Source: RNAcentral